Molecule: long non-coding RNA, 355 nt
Filed under: Ananas comosus (pineapple)
Lineage: Eukaryota; Viridiplantae; Streptophyta; Magnoliopsida; Poales; Bromeliaceae
Description: long non-coding RNA (ACOM_LNC023479)
Source: RNAcentral
AAGCAGUUGGAUGACUCUUUAUUGUUAUGAUAUCUUAUGUGACUCUUUAUUGUUAUGAUAUUUUAUGUGAUAAAUUUUUCAGAAAAAAUUUUUUUGGCUGAAAUAGGUCUAACUUCCUGCUACAUAAUAAUAAAACUAUAAAACUAAUAAAUUGAGUUGAGUUGAGUUGAGUUGAGUUGUGUGGGGCUCCGGUCCAUAAUAAACUUAACUGUAAAAAAUCCAAUAAUAAAUCUAACCUCUAGAUAGAUUGAGUCAGAUUGAAAUCCCGUGAGCAACAUGGCUAAGCCCUUGAGUACGAUGAGUGCGCCUUUUCUAUCGGCACAUGCCUUUCAGAUUAUUAGUUAGUUAGUUAGUA